Molecule: ribosomal RNA, 279 nt
Filed under: uncultured bacterium
Lineage: Bacteria
Description: partial 16S ribosomal RNA
Rfam family: Bacterial small subunit ribosomal RNA
Source: RNAcentral
UGCCAGCAUCCGCGGUAAUACUGAGUUUGCAAGCGUUGUCCGGAUUCACUGGGUGUAAAGGGUGUGUAGGCGGGGCGGUAAGUCAGAGGUGAAAGCCCACGGCCUAACCGUGGAAUUGCCUUUGAUACUGCCGUUCUUGAGUCUCGGAGAGGUCGCUGGAAUUCGUGGUGUAGCGGUGAAAUGCGUAGAUAUCACGAGGAACACCAGAGGCGUAGGCGGGCGACUGGACGAGUACUGACGCUGAGGCACGAAAGCGUGGGGAGCAAACAGGAUUAGAUA